GAUGAAGAACGUAGCAAAAUGCGAUAAGUAGUGUGAAUUGCAGAAUUCAGUGAAUCAUCGAAUCUUUGAACGCACAUUGCGCCCGCCAGUAUUCUGGCGGGCAUGCCUGUUCGAGCGUCAUUUCAACCCUCAAGCCCUCGGGUUUGGUGUUGGGGAUCGGCGAGCCUUUCUGGCAAGCCGGCCCCGAAAUCUAGUGGCGGUCUCGCUGCAGCCUCCAUUGCGUAGUAGUAAAACCCUCGCAACUGGAACGCGGCGCGGCCAAGCCGUUAAACCCCCAACUUCUGAAUGUUGACCUCGGAUCAGGUAGGAAUACCCGCUGAACUUAAGCAUAUCAAUAAGCGGAGGA
RNAcentral lists this unclassified non-coding RNA (346 nucleotides) under soil metagenome. RNAcentral's name for it is "partial contains 5.8S ribosomal RNA, internal transcribed spacer 2, and large subunit ribosomal RNA". The stretch from base 1 to 120 matches the Rfam family "5.8S ribosomal RNA", at positions 35 to 154 of the family's 154-position model. The record is from RNAcentral.